AAGUCCCGCAACGAGCGCAACCCCUGUCCUAUGUUGCCAGCAUUUAGUUGGGGACUCAUAGGAGACUGCCGGUGAUAAACCGGAGGAAGGUGGGGACGACGUCAAGUCAUCAUGCCCCUUAUGUCCAGGGCUGCACGCAUGCUACAAUGGCAAGUACAACGAGUCGCAAUACCGCGAGGUGGAGCAAAUCUCUUAAAGCUUGUCUCAGUUCGGAUAGGAGUCUGCAACUCGACUCCUUGAAGUUGGAGUCGCUAGUAAUCGCAAAUCAGCAAAGUUGCGGUGAAUACGUUCUCGGGGUUU
RNAcentral lists this ribosomal RNA (300 nucleotides) under uncultured bacterium. Its description in RNAcentral is "bacterial SSU rRNA". It matches the Rfam family "Bacterial small subunit ribosomal RNA", at positions 1082 to 1382 of the family's 1533-position model. The record is from RNAcentral.